This 2902-nucleotide long non-coding RNA is filed under the name Nicotiana tabacum (common tobacco). RNAcentral's name for it is "long non-coding RNA (NTAB_LNC003440)". The record is from RNAcentral. Lineage: Eukaryota; Viridiplantae; Streptophyta; Magnoliopsida; Solanales; Solanaceae.
UUUUCCAAAUAUCAUGUUGCUGAAGGCAUAACCAAUGCUACAUUAAUUCUUGAAAUCAAUAGGCAAGUAGAGGAAAUCAUAUUUAUUCUUAUGAGUCUCGUCAAUGUUUGCUGUGAGUAGAAUCUUUUAAGUGUACUUGUUUGGGAUGUUUUUAAGUAUUGAAGUAGUCCUACUAUCUUCUCCGAGACUCAUUUUAUUCAUGCCACCUAUCUCUAUACAUAUAUAAAGCAGGGGAAUACAAAUCUGACGUAGCAUCUAUCAAAUGUCAGGCUUUGUAUUUAUCUCUUUUCUUAGAGCUUUCCCUUUUUUAACGAAGAAAAAAUAGUUUCCUGAUAAAAAUUAAAGUCCCGUCUUUUUUCUAAAUUCCAUCGGUUACACUCAUAUGUCAAAAAGCAAAAAACCCAACAGUCGCUUCUGCUUAAAUUCCUUCCAUAACAUCGCUCACUCUCCUCUCUUAAUUGCCAUACGUGUCUUUCUCUUCAAUCCUCUGUGUUUUAGUACUCUUCUUUUUUCUCAAUCGCCACAGAAGAGUUGUUUCUCUCAAUUCUCAAGGUAAAUCUCUUCUUUAUGAUUUUGGAACAUAGUUAUUCUCUUUCAUGUUUGGCUUGUUUUCUCUGCGUUAUACCUGCAACAUGAAUGUAUCUCUAUUUAUCUAUUUUUAAUUUUAAUAUUUAGAUUUUAUCUAUUUGUUAUUCAACUUCUGAAAUAUUUCGCUAAAUUUUUAAUCGUUGCUUAUCGCAAGUGCUUACCAAGUUUAUUCUGUGAAAAAAAUAAAAUUAACAGAGCAUGUUUAUGUUGAUGCCCAUGAAGUGCUCGACAAAAAAAGCCCUAUAGAGGUACAAUUCAAACGGCUGCAGGACAAACCACUCAACAAAUGCAGGUCAGUUAUUCUUUUACACCUUGUAUAGUUAAUAGUUGGGACAAAAAAGGAACAAACGACCUUGAAUAAUUGUGAUCAUUUAAUUAUACAGUGUCUUUAAAUGUUCAUUACAGUUUAGUCAUAUGGAGUUUCGACUAUUAGAUUUUCAACUUCCUGUUAGUUCAUAUAUUCCUUUUGAUUAUAAAAAAAUCUUGUAUAUUUCUAUUUCUAUAUUUGCCCUUCUCUCAUAUUAUUUUUCGCUCCACUCUUUCAUGCUUUGAUUUACGAGCGACUUAUGCAUUUAACAUACAAGCAACAUUUUAAUAAUCAGAAUACGACUUAUUUGCAGUAGCAUUGCAUUGCUUAGGAAAUUUGUUUUUUAAUUUUCUCAUAUUCUUGCCUUUUUAUCUAAGUAUUCUUUCUCUUAAUUAUCAUGUUGUUUCUGCCUUUUUGGGGUGUUUGACAUUUAAAUGAAGCAUAAAGUUAGCUUAUACUCUGAUCAGUUCUUAUACGGUUGAGGGAAAUAACGGAAAUAUCUAUCUAUCAGCUAUUGGAAAGGUUAAAACUAUUAAAAUAAAGGUGACAAUUAAAGUUGCAAAGCCAAUAGUUUCUCUUCACACCCCACUUUAACCUUAGAUUUCAAUCAACCCACCAUAAUUGCCCACCACAAUGCGGCAAUAUUAAUCUAACGGGGACAACCGUUGAUUUCUGAUGCUGUUAAAAUUGACAGAAUGAAGCUUGUGAAGAGAACACUCAAUGGCACGAUGAUAUAAAUUACAUGCACUUACACUUGCAAAAGAUGCAGUAUCAAUAUUUGGCAAAUUUGAAGCAGCAACUUGCUUUUCCUACUUUCAGUAUCAAUAUUUGGCAAAUCUGGAGAUUCCUUCUAAUCUUUUAUCAUACAGGAUUUGACCAUACUUGUCUUUCUCUUCAUCCUCUGUUUUUUAGUACUCUUCUUUUUUCCAAUUGCUACAGAGGAGUUGUUUCUCUCAAUUCUCAAGGUAAAUCUUUUUUUUGUCAUUCUCAAUGUAAAUCUUUUUUGUGUGAUUUUGGAACAUAGUUAUUCUCUUUCAUGUUUAGUUUGUUUUCUCAGCUUUCUGCCUGCAAGACUGAAGGUAUCUCUAUUGUUGUCUAUUCCCAAUUUUAAUAUUUAAGAUUUUGUCUUUUUGUUAUUCAACUUCUGGAAUAUUUCACAAAAUUUUUAUCUGUUGCUUUUCAUUAUUUUUGGGUAUUGGACUUUUUAGUUUCCAUUGUCUCCAACAUUCUUUUUCAACAUAUACUUGGUGGUGGUUGAUAAGUUUAUCAUUUGAUUAUUGGUAAUUGGUGUUUGGAUCUUUGAAAUUAGCCGUCAUGCUAUGUUGGAUUGUUCCUACUAUUUUUUUACAUUCUAUUUCGCGAAGAUUUGAUUUUUUGGUUUCUUUUUCACUUUGUUUUGUUGGAAAUUUAAAUUUACUGUGAACUUGGAGUUCUAAGAUGUCAGACACAAGCGUAAGGCCUUAAAGCCAGUCUCUGCAAUUCCGGGUACUGAAAUAGUAUAAAUUUUCUUAGUUUGUCACCAAUCAAGAUUUCAUUCUUAAUUGGUACAAAACAUUAAUGCUUCAGCUCCAAUUUUCAUGCCUUUUCUUUUUCCAUACAAGUUUGUGAAUAAUUUAGUUGUUGCGUAAUCAUUAUCACUAAUAAUUUAUUAUUCAAAUUCUCCAGCUGUCCCCCUUUAGCUAUCCUUGGAGCAUUUUCUGUUAGGUAUGCAUCUAACCUAUCGUAUAUAGUCUAUAUUUUGUUAACCUGCAGUAGAGUCAAUCUGAAGCAUUGAUUGAGUCCAUGGUAUAUUUUACUCCCUAUAUAGUUUGUUAAUCAGUCAUUUAUAGAAUAUUAUGUGAAAUUGAAGUCACUAUUUGUUAGUAUUAUGUGAAACUGAAGUCACAGUUAGUUUUCUACCUCGGGGCAACAGAGUUUUGUAGAAUUGAGUCGCCCGAAGAGAAAUAGAGAAUCAAAAGUAUAUACUUUUUCUCUGAGUUUGUUUUUAUUCUUAAGUUUAUUUUUUCC